GACGAACGCUGGCGGCGUGCUUAACACAUGCAAGUCGAACGGGUCUGCCUUGUUUUUUGCGGGGUGGGUCAGUGGCGAACGGGUGAGUAACACGUGAGUAACCUGCCCCUCACUUCUGGAUAACCGCUUGAAAGGGUGGCUAAUACGGGGUGUUCUGGCUGUGCCGCAUGGUGUGGCUGGGAAAGAUUCACUUUUGUGGUGUUUUGGUGGGGGAUGGGCUCGCGGCCUAUCAGCUUGUUGGUGGGGUGAUGGCCUGCCAAGGCUUUGACGGGUAGCCGGCCUGAGAGGGUGGGCGGUCACACUGGGACUGAGAUACGGCCCAGACUCCUGCGGGAGGCAGCAGUGGGGGGUAUUGCACAAUGGGCGGAAGCCUGAUGCAGCGACGUCGCGUGAGGGAUGGAGGCCUUCGGGUUGUGAACCUCUUUCGCCGGUGAAGAAGGUUCCUGUUUCUUUGUGGUGGGGCUGACGGUAAGCCGGGUAAAAA
RNAcentral lists this ribosomal RNA (484 nucleotides) under Actinomyces israelii. Its description in RNAcentral is "bacterial SSU rRNA". It matches the Rfam family "Bacterial small subunit ribosomal RNA", at positions 28 to 489 of the family's 1533-position model. Lineage: Bacteria; Bacillati; Actinomycetota; Actinomycetes; Actinomycetales; Actinomycetaceae. The record is from RNAcentral.